GUCCAUUAGACCUUAGUGUCCGUCUUGAGUGACGCGGCGCAUUUUUUAGUGAUGAGGUUGGUCCCGCCGCUAACUCAGGUGUGUACGGCAGGUGAAGAUUCGGGUCCCGUGGUGCAAAACGUGGUGGCUUGCGGACUCGCAGCCCUACGUGUUCAGGCCUUUAAAGUACUGUUUGCUUUUGUCGGAGCUCCGCAGCUCCACCUCCCGGCGAGGGGCAGGCUCGAGUCUGGAGGCGGGGCUUGUCACUUUGGCUUGUCAGUGGGUUCCCUGAGCUCCAGCCCGGCCUCCGCGACCCUGUUUCAGGACUUGACCUUGGCGGUUUGUUUCAGGGAAAGAUGUCUCAGCCUCGGUCCUACUCACUUUGGGGGUCGGAUAAUUCUGUUUGUGGGCGGCUGUCUUGUGCUCACCUGCCGUCCACCCAAUGUUUGCAAGCGGUUGUCACAACCAAAGGUGUCUCCAGGCUUUGCCCAAUACGCCCUCCGGGGGAAAAGGUUGAGAACCACUAUUUAUUUAGGAGAUAUCCUGGAUUUUCGGGAAGCAACCGUUUUCAAAGAAAGGAAGAUAAGCCGGGAGCAAAGAUGUCUUAGCCACGCGAAUGACGGGCGAGGGAGCCCCUCUUGCAGAAGCUCUCAGUCCGGGUCCCAGUCGGCGUCCAGGAGUGGGAGGCGGCCCGGGGACCGAAGCGGGUCAGGGGCUCGACUGAUGGAGAAGGCGCCCCUGGUGGAGUUAGGUGCUGCUAGAGGUUUCACCCGCAGAGCCCGACGUGAUCCCUCAGCGCCCGUACCGAGAGGCGCCGCUGCUGUCCCGAAGGGAUCACCCGUCUCCGCGGCACCGAUCCCGGAGCAGGUCCUGCUCCUGGAGAAGGUCGUACUAUUAAAGAGCCUACGCGACGCGACCUUGGCCCAAUGGUAUACCGAGCGGAACCCGCCAGAUCGAGGGAGAGAUCCAGGAAAACAACAUUUGUCAUUAAAAGAGGCACACAGCGAUUGUGCGGUGGCACAUACAUGUAAUCGCAGUGGCUUUGGAGGCUGAAGCAGGAGGAUCGCAAGUUCAAAGCCAGCUUCAGCAAUUUUCCGGGACCCUAAGAAACUUAGUGAGACCCUAAAAUAAAACAUAAAGGACUAGGGAUGUGACUCCGUGG
This 1141-nucleotide long non-coding RNA is filed under the name Marmota marmota marmota (Alpine marmot). RNAcentral describes it as "lncRNA (ENSMMMG00000018253.1)". The record is from RNAcentral. Lineage: Eukaryota; Metazoa; Chordata; Mammalia; Rodentia; Sciuridae.